GAAACGGGUGGUAAUGCCGGAUGCUCCAGUUGAUCGCAUGGUCUUCUGGGAAAGCUUUCGCGGUAUGGGAUGGGGUCGCGUCCUAUCAGCUUGACGGCGGGGUAACGGCCCACCGUGGCUUCGACGGGUAGCCGGCCUGAGAGGGCGACCGGCCACAUUGGGACUGAGAUACGGCCCAGACUCCUACGGGAGGCAGCAGUGGGGAAUAUUGCACAAUGGGCGCAAGCCUGAUGCAGCGACGCCGCGUGAGGGAUGGAGGCCUUCGGGUUGUAAACCUCUUUUAUCGGGGAGCAAGCGAGAGUGAGUUUACCCGUUGAAUAAGCACCGGCUAACUACGUGCCAGCAGCCGCGGUAAUACGUAGGGUGCAAGCGUUAUCCGGAAUUAUUGGGCGUAAAGGGCUCGUAGGCGGUUCGUCGCGUCCGGUGUGAAAGUCCAUCGCUUAACGGUGGAUCCGCGCCGGGUACGGGCGGGCUUGAGUGCGGUAGGGGAGACUGGAAUUCCCGGUGUAACGGUGGAAUGUGUAGAUAUCGGGA
This 534-nucleotide ribosomal RNA is filed under the name Bifidobacterium longum subsp. suillum. RNAcentral's name for it is "bacterial SSU rRNA". It matches the Rfam family "Bacterial small subunit ribosomal RNA", at positions 153 to 702 of the family's 1533-position model. Lineage: Bacteria; Bacillati; Actinomycetota; Actinomycetes; Bifidobacteriales; Bifidobacteriaceae. The record is from RNAcentral.